AACGAACGCUGGCGGCAUGCCUAACACAUGCAAGUCGAACGAGACCUUCGGGUCUAGUGGCGCACGGGUGCGUCACGCGUGGGAACCUGCCCUUAGGUUCGGAAUAACUCCCCGACAGGGGUGCUAAUACCGGAUAAUGUCUUCGGACCACAGAUUUAUCGCCCUUGUAUGGGCCCGCGUUGGAUUAGCUAGUUGGUAGGGUAAAAGCCUACCAAGGCGACGAUCCAUAGCUGGUCUGAGAGGAUGAUCAGCCACACUGGGACUGAGACACGGCCCAGACUCCUACGGGAGGCAGCAGUGGGGAAUAUUGGACAAUGGGCGAAAGCCUGAUCCAGCAAUGCCGCGUGAGUGAUGAAGGCCUUAGGGUUGUAAAGCUCUUUUACCCGGGAUGAUAAUGACAGUACCGGGAGAAUAAGCUCCGGCUAACUCCGUG
RNAcentral lists this ribosomal RNA (433 nucleotides) under uncultured bacterium. Its description in RNAcentral is "partial 16S ribosomal RNA". It matches the Rfam family "Bacterial small subunit ribosomal RNA", at positions 29 to 507 of the family's 1533-position model. The record is from RNAcentral.